UCAGAGAAUAGUUUAAGUAAAAUAUUAGUUUUGGGGACUAAAGAUAAGAGUAAUUUUUUUUCUCUGAA
Molecule: transfer RNA, 68 nt
Filed under: Trapezia lutea
Lineage: Eukaryota; Metazoa; Arthropoda; Malacostraca; Decapoda; Trapeziidae
Description: tRNA-Pro
Rfam family: tRNA
About the family: Transfer RNA (tRNA) molecules are approximately 80 nucleotides in length.
Source: RNAcentral